ACGCCCGUCAAUGUGGUUGUGUUGUGUAGACGUGAAACUCAUAUCACAGCCAUCUUGACGAGUUGAG
RNAcentral lists this microRNA precursor (67 nucleotides) under Strigamia maritima. Its description in RNAcentral is "mir-2 microRNA precursor". It matches the Rfam family "mir-2 microRNA precursor family". Rfam says of the family: The miRNAs are transcribed as ~70nt precursors (modelled here) and subsequently processed by the Dicer enzyme to give a ~22nt product. In this case the mature sequence comes from the 3' arm of the precursor. The extents of the hairpin precursors are not generally known and are estimated based on hairpin prediction. The record is from Rfam by way of RNAcentral. Lineage: Eukaryota; Metazoa; Arthropoda; Chilopoda; Geophilomorpha; Linotaeniidae.